UGGCUGUCGUCAGCUCGUGUCGUGAGAUGUUGGGUUAAGUCCCGCAACGAGCGCAACCCUUGUCAUUAGUUGCUACGAAAGGGCACUCUAAUGAGACUGCCGGUGACAAACCGGAGGAAGGUGGGGAUGACGUCAAGUCCUCAUGGCCCUUAUGGGUAGGGCUUCACACGUCAUACAAUGGUACAUACAGAGGGCCGCCAACCCGCGAGGGGGAGCUAAUCCCAGAAAGUGUAUCGUAGUCCGGAUUGUAGUCUGCAACUCGACUACAUGAAGUUGGAAUCGCUAGUAAUCGCGGAUCAGCAUGUCGCGGUGAAUACGUUCCAGGGUCUUGUACACACCGCCCGUCACACCAUGGGAGCGGGUUUUACCAGAAGUAGGUAGCUUAACCGUAAGGAGGGCGCUUACCACGGUA
Molecule: ribosomal RNA, 412 nt
Filed under: uncultured maize root bacterium Zmrc240
Lineage: Bacteria
Description: bacterial SSU rRNA
Rfam family: Bacterial small subunit ribosomal RNA
Source: RNAcentral